RNAcentral lists this ribosomal RNA (462 nucleotides) under uncultured bacterium. RNAcentral describes it as "SSU rRNA". It matches the Rfam family "Bacterial small subunit ribosomal RNA", at positions 26 to 518 of the family's 1533-position model. The record is from RNAcentral.
AGAAUCAACGCUGGCGGCGUGCCUAACACAUGCAAGUCGAACGAGAAAGUGGUAGCAAUACCAUGAGUAAAGUGGCGCACGGGUGAGUAACACGUGACUAACCUACCCUUGAGUGGGGGAUAACUGAGGGAAACCUUAGCUAAUACCGCAUAAUACCCACGGGUCAAAGGAGCAAUUCGCUCGAGGAGGGGGUCGCGGCCGAUUAGUUAGUUGGCAGGGUAAUGGCCUACCAAGACGAUGAUCGGUAUCCGGCCUGAGAGGGCGCACGGACACACUGGAACUGAAACACGGUCCAGACUCCUACGGGAGGCAGCAGUGGGGAAUUUUGCGCAAUGGGGGAAACCCUGACGCAGCAACGCCGCGUGGAGGAUGAAGUCCUUCGGGACGUAAACUCCUUUCGAUCGGGACGAUUAUGACGGUACCGGAAGAAGAAGCCCCGGCUAACUUCGUGCCAGCAGCCGC